This 76-nucleotide transfer RNA is filed under the name Mongoliitalea lutea. RNAcentral describes it as "tRNA-Val". It matches the Rfam family "tRNA". From Rfam's summary of the family: Transfer RNA (tRNA) molecules are approximately 80 nucleotides in length. The record is from RNAcentral. Lineage: Bacteria; Pseudomonadati; Bacteroidota; Cytophagia; Cytophagales; Cyclobacteriaceae. RNAcentral also lists the same sequence under 1 other name.
GGAACUUUAGCUCAGUUGGUUUAGAGCGCUGCCUUGACAGGGCAGAGGUCGUGGGUUCGAAUCCCUCAAGUUCCAC